This 253-nucleotide ribosomal RNA is filed under the name uncultured bacterium. Its description in RNAcentral is "partial 16S ribosomal RNA". It matches the Rfam family "Bacterial small subunit ribosomal RNA", at positions 524 to 776 of the family's 1533-position model. The record is from RNAcentral.
UACGUAGGGGGCUAGCGUUGUCCGGAAUCAUUGGGCGUAAAGCGCGUGUAGGCGGUCCGGUAAGUCCGCUGUGAAAGUCGGGGGCUCAACCCUGGAAAGCCGGUGGAUACUGUCGGGCUAGAGUCCGGAAGAGGCGAGUGGAAUUCCUGGUGUAGCGGUGGAAUGCGCAGAUAUCAGGAGGAACACCGAUAGCGAAGGCAGCUCGCUGGGACGGUACUGACGCUGAGGUGCGAAAGCGUGGGGAGCGAACAGG